RNAcentral lists this transfer RNA (57 nucleotides) under Gordionus alpestris. RNAcentral's name for it is "tRNA-Cys". RNAcentral also lists the same sequence under 1 other name. The record is from RNAcentral. Lineage: Eukaryota; Metazoa; Nematomorpha; Gordioida; Chordodea; Parachordodidae.
ACUAUUUAAAAAUUAGAUUGCAAAUCUUAUAUUGCUGAUAAGUUUCAGCAGAUAGUU